RNAcentral lists this ribosomal RNA (500 nucleotides) under uncultured bacterium. RNAcentral's name for it is "bacterial SSU rRNA". It matches the Rfam family "Bacterial small subunit ribosomal RNA", at positions 25 to 518 of the family's 1533-position model. The record is from RNAcentral.
CAGGACGAACGCUGGCGGCGUGCUUAACACAUGCAAGUCGAACGGAGAACCCCGGAUGAAAUUUUCGGAUGGAUUCUGGGAAUUCUCAGUGGCGGACGGGUGAGUAACGCGUGAGCAAUCUGCCUCAGAGAGGGGGGACAACAGCUGGAAACGGCUGCUAAUACCGCAUAAGACCACACUACAGCAUUGUAGAGGGGUAAAAGGAGUGAUCCGCUUUGAGAUGAGCUCGCGUCCCAUUAGUUAGUUGGCGGGGUAACGGCCCACCAAGACGACGAUGGGUAGCCGACCUGAGAGGGUGAUCGGCCACACUGGAACUGAGACACGGUCCAGACUCCUACGGGAGGCAGCAGUGGGGAAUAUUGGGCAAUGGGCGAAAGCCUGACCCAAGCAACGCCGCGUGAAGGAAGAAGGUCUUCGGAUUGUAAACAUCUGUCCUAUGGGACGAAGGAAGUGACGGUACCAUAGGAGGAAGCCCCGGCUAACUACGUGCCAGCAGCAGC